This 529-nucleotide ribosomal RNA is filed under the name uncultured bacterium. RNAcentral describes it as "bacterial SSU rRNA". It matches the Rfam family "Bacterial small subunit ribosomal RNA", at positions 791 to 1320 of the family's 1533-position model. The record is from RNAcentral.
UAGUCCACGCCGUAAACGAUGGAUGCUAGCCGUUGGGCAGUUUACUGUUCAGUGGCGCAGCUAACGCAUUAAGCAUCCCGCCUGGGGGAGUACGGUCGCAAGAUUAAAACUCAAAGGAAUUGACGGGGGCCCGCACAAGCGGUGGAGUAUGUGGUUUAAUUCGAAGCAACGCGCAGAACCUUACCUACCCUUAACAUUUCACGACGUAUACAGAGAUGUAUAUUUCUCUUCGGAGACGUGAGGAUAGGUGCUGCAUGGCUGUCGUCAGCUCGUGUCGUAAGAUGUCUGGUUAAGUCCAAUAACGAGCGCAACCCUUAUCCUUAGUUACCAGCAUUAAGUUGGGGACUCUAGGGAGACUGCCGGUGUUAAACCGGAGGAAGGCGGGGAUGACGUCAAGUCCUCAUGGCCCUUACGGGUAGGGCUACACACGUACUACAAUGGCAGAUACAAACCGUUUGCAAAGCCGCGAGGUUGAGCUAAUCGGUAAAACACUGUCCCAGUCCGGAUUGGAGUCUGCAACUCGACUCCA